This is a long non-coding RNA of Rosa rugosa (rugosa rose), 2165 nucleotides long. RefSeq lists it as uncharacterized. The record is from RefSeq and is a predicted model, not a curated record. Lineage: Eukaryota; Viridiplantae; Streptophyta; Magnoliopsida; Rosales; Rosaceae. The transcript has 8 exons.
ACAAGCAAUUUCCAACCUAAAAUCGCCACCACCACUGCCAAACAAAGCGCACAACAAUCACAAAGUCAAUUAUAUAUACAAGCACACAAUCCCUUACCGUCUUUCUGCAUUUGCUUGCACAAAAGUGCUGAAAUUGAACCCAGAAACCAGCAAAUCGAGCAGUGACGAAAAGAAACUAAAACGUCCGAUAGACGUCGUUGUGUCGGACGUGAGCCGAUCCACAUAGGACAAAGACUCUGAAACUAAUGAAUGGAUUUGUUACCAGUUACGACAAGGGCAUUUGUGGGAGAAGAAAGAAAGCACGUGCAGCGAGCGAGGGGAUAAGGUUCGAAGACUCUGAAGUCUUGUUGGUCGUUAUCAUGAUGAUGAUGGAGGAGAGCGGGUUUUCAUCGGACUUGGCUACUGUAGCCGAGCGCUUCGCUUCUUCCUCUACUUAUCAUAAUAAUUCAAUUCUAAUGGGACUGACCAGAAAGUUUAUAUCAAUGGAGGAAUUGGAAUUGGAUACUACAGGUAUAUGUACUUAACUCCAAUUCAUCAUGUCGAAGUGGUGUGACCUUUAAUUUCCUGAAGUUUCCAGAAAUCUAUGCGCUUUCCAUCUCUUAAUGCGUGUUUGCAGCGUCAUCAAAGUAUGGUUGGAGAUGUAUCAUGGCAUUCUAAGAAUGAGAAUCUGUUUGGAUCUGUGCGGGACGAUCGUCAAUCAAUCGAUUAUUCAUGGGGCUCGAGAACAGAUCAAGCCCCAAGACUCUGUCAAAGUUCAUGAUAAAGAAGUGAAGCAAUUUUUAACAGUAUCAUUUAUAUGAUUUUCAUUCGUAGGAUUUCACACUGGUAAACCAUCUGUCUUUCCAUCCAUGUAAUGAGUGGAUUUUGCCUAUAGCAUCUUCAGACACUACUGUGGGUGUUUGAUAUGCAGAAGCUGACUGUACCAUUGCAUGCUCUGAGUGGUCACACAGAAGAGGUAUUCCAGGUUGAAUGUGACCCUAAUCAUGACACUGUGUUGGCAUCUUAGGUGACAGAAGGUUGAUAGUUUGGGACCUUAAUAGGAUUGGGGAUGAGCAGUUGGAGGGAGAUGGUGAUGAUGGGCCACCAGAACUUUUGUUUUCACAUGGUGGUCUUAAAGCAAAGAUAUCAUAUUUCUCAAGGGUAGUAUGCUUUGGUCUUAAGAAUGGCCAGUAUAAACUUAUUUCCUCAGGCUAAGUCUUUGAUGUAGAAGAAGGAAAGCACUUGCAGCGAGGGGAUAAGGUUUGAAUUAUUCUCGUUCACCUUUCCUCUCUACAAAAUAUGAAGAUCCCCUUUGAAGAAACUCAAGAAACCUUAAAUCUGCACGCAGAGCUUAGUUGAAGUCUUCUUUUUCUUAGAAGAAAGCGUGAAUCUGAUAAACAAGGUAUCUAAAAUUUUGGGAUAGCUCUAUUGAUCUUGUUAAUGUCCUGAAGCAUGAGAUAUGAGAUGGGCAACUGAGCUUUAGAGGAAAAAGGCAUUUUGGGAAGGAAAUAAUAGCCAAGGAACUUCAAGUUGAUGAAGGACACCUUGAUGUGCAGAGGUUAUUUUUGGCUGUUUACAAGAGCUUUAUGGACACCUUGUGUGUUUCAUUGUAUCUGUGCUCCUCUAUAUAAGGUCACGCUGCCAGAUUUCUUCUUGGCUGAUCAGUUCAGUAGCCAGAUACAAUGCUCUGGAGAGGAGAAAAGCUUGCAAGGGCGGUAAAGAAGUAAGCAAGAGAGCUGCCCAAUCACAAUCAUCCACUAAGGGUACAGCAGCUUCCUAAAGAGCUCAUUCCUCUCAUGAUUCAAUAAUGUACUACAUUCUGGGAAUCAAUCAGUACCAAGCCAAGAUUGCCAUCAAGUCCAUACCAAAAGCCUCUGAAAUCAGUCAAGCAACCACUGAUUCCAACUAAAGAUGAGCAGGAGAAGCAAGAAAGCAUCAGUUAUAUUAUUUAGCAUGAGAAGACAAAGAAAACAAGGUAAUGAGCUCAUGGCCUGUAAAGUCUGCUGAAGCUCAUGGCCUGGAAGCUCUGAAGUGCAAUAGGCUUGAAAUUUAUUUUUGGGGCUGGCCUGACAAUUUUAAGUACAUUUUUGGAUGUAUUUUGCUAUGGGAGUUUCUUAGAUGUACUCCUUUGCACGUAGAGGGUAGUUCCCAAAUAUUCAUACAUAAAAAUACAAUGGCAUUUGUUC